RNAcentral lists this ribosomal RNA (489 nucleotides) under uncultured bacterium. RNAcentral describes it as "partial 16S ribosomal RNA". It matches the Rfam family "Bacterial small subunit ribosomal RNA", at positions 28 to 507 of the family's 1533-position model. The record is from RNAcentral.
GACGAACGCUGGCGGCGUGCUUAACACAUGCAAGUCGAACGGAAAGGCCCCCAUCUUGGUGGGGGUGCUCGAGUGGCGAACGGGUGAGUAACACGUGGGUGAUCUGCCCUGUACUUCGGGAUAAGCUUGGGAAACUGGGUCUAAUACCGGAUAGGACCCUGGUUUAGUUUCUCAUGGUGGAAAGAUUAUUGUUUUGGUGCAGGAUGAGCUCGCGGCCUAUCAGCUUGUUGGUGGGGUAAUGGCCUACCAAGGCGUCGACGGGUAGCCGGCCUGAGAGGGUGGACGGCCACAUUGGGACUGAGAUACGGCCCAGACUCCUACGGGAGGCAGCAGUGGGGAAUAUUGCACAAUGGGCGCAAGCCUGAUGCAGCGACGCCGCGUGGGGGAUGACGGCCUUCGGGUUGUAAACUCCUUUCGUUAGGGACGAAGCCGCACUUUUUUUGGGUGUGGUGACGGUACCUUUGUUAAGAAGCACCGGCUAACUACGUG